UCUCCUCCCAACUGGUGCCGCACGCGUUCUGGAAGCUUCGGGUCAGCGUUGGGGAAGCAUUGGGGGUGCAGGUUGCAGGACUCGGCGGAAAACAAUCCAUCUCCAUCGGAGGACUGAGUGGGCAUCCGGGCGCAGACAUGCUGGAGAAUGCAAGCACCAAGGUGGCCUUUCUGAAUGCGGCCACAGGGAACCGCAACUCCGGUGGCAAUCGCAGUUCUUACCAGGAUAAAGAUAAACCCGCUUAAAUCCGCUUCAGCAACAUUUCUGCAGGGAAAGGUGAUGGGUGGGACAUCCCACUGUCUCUAUAAGGAAGGGGGUGGCGGAGAGGAUGAGUGGACCGCUCCAUUGACAUUUGGCGGGCUCGGGCAGGGGCUCCUGAUCCAUAAAAAAACACCUGACCACAUCUUUGGCUCUCCAAUUCCUUUGUUGGAAUGAACUAAGGCUCUUUCAGAGUCUUGUUGAAGAUAGAAGAGGGUCGAGCAGCAUAAAGGUUUGAGUUUGAGAGCGCUAAUUUUAGAGGGGGGAGCACCAGAAAUAGAGUUGGCAUUAUGCUUGAAUGAAUAUUCACGUGGUUUAAGUGGCAUGGAAUCUUUUUGCAUUCCUGCUUACGGAGAGGCUCUGGAAAUUAUUCCAUCCACCCUGGCUGAAAAUGGCAGGCCCUAAUCCGAUAUCGACUGUUACAGAGCUGAGAAACGGACAUGCACAAGGAGAGAAAACUGUUGGCAUUAAUGUCAGAAAGGUGAACACUCGAUGAAAUGACUAAAGGAAGAGGCAGUACUCUUAACUAGUACACUAUCCUAAGUUUGGAACUUGGUUCCUUUAUAGAGGCACUGCGUUAGACACCUACUUAACUUGCGGUUGUGUUCAUGUUCUGUCAAUCUAAGUUAACACGUGAUGACAUGAACCAAAUGCCAGGAUUUAUAUUCUGACAUCAGGAUACAAGAAAACUUUUGUAAUUUUCUUGACUGGUGACUUGUUCACUGACAUAAUCAAUUGAAUGAAAUAAAUUGACUGACAGUAGCCAAAUCCCAUCAUUUUUGCCAGGAAUGAUUAACUUGGUUGUAACUUGAAAAUCUGUAUUAGUGAUUAUUAAACCAUUUUUAUUUACUAUAACUCCUUUUUAUUUUGUAUUUUUGACCUCUUUGAUGGAAGCAGGAGAAGCGGGCCCUUUGGCUAACUAUUUUCAGUAACAAAGAGUGUCUUUGAUUAAUGUUUCUAAAUAAUUUGAAGUAACAAGUAAGAAUGUGAAAUUCUGAUAGGAACCAACUAGAGACAAUAAUUUUAUUUUAUUUUUUAUUUUUAUUAGUUCGAUUUAUAUGCCGCCCUUCUCCAGAGACUCAGGGCGGCUUACAAUGCAUUAAGCAAUAGCCUUCAUACUUUUGUAUAUACCUGCUUAGUAGGGCUUUUUGGCCCCCCCUAAGCGGUGUUCUAUUUUAUACAAAGUCAGCUUAUUGCCCCUACAACCCGGGUCCUCAUUUUACCUACCUCGGAAGGAUGGAAGGCUGAGUCAACCUUGAGCCUGGUGAGAAUUGAACUCGCAGUAAUUGCAAGCAGCUGGUAGUUUAGUCCACUACGCCGCCACGGCUCUUUGCCAGAGAGUUGAACUUUUAUUAACGUGAAAACUAAUUAUGUGGGAAACACGCCCCUUGAAUAUUCAGUUGACCCUUAUCAGGAUCAUACUAAGAAUAAUGGGAUUCUAUGAACUGUUACAUGGUACAUUUAUGGGCAUGCUGUCUACAUGCUUGAGGACUCAAAUGAUGCUGAUCAAUUAAUAUAUGCCAAACCCAAUACCUUUGAACUGUAUAUAUCCUUUCUAAGGGUUUUCUCAUCUUGUACCUUUGGGACAUGUAUCUUUUACUUACAAAUUGCCUUUUCUACCUUAAGUGGUUACAUAUUGCAUACAUAAAUCAGCAUAUUGAUCGUUGCACAAAAAUGUUAUUAAAUGUCUUGGGUACAAAAAAGGGAAUAUAAAUAAGUUUGAUGGAAAACAAAACUAAAAAGAAUCCUUCUGUAGGAGAUGACCAGACUGAGCCCAAGGGAGGGGUCAAACACAUCGAGUUGAGUCCCUUUGCACCCACAAGAGAUCCAAGUCCAGCCCACCUUGAUUUCCAUUGACGCUAUCUAUCGCCAAUUUGCUUCAACUAUUAGUAGUUCAGAUUCUUAUAGAGAACUUAAGCUUGCAAUAAACUUCAUAUUUAUUUGAA
This is a non-coding RNA of Pantherophis guttatus, 2204 nucleotides long. The record is from RefSeq and is a predicted model, not a curated record. NCBI's taxonomy places the organism in Eukaryota, Metazoa, Chordata, Lepidosauria, Squamata, Colubridae.